Molecule: ribosomal RNA, 497 nt
Filed under: uncultured bacterium
Lineage: Bacteria
Description: partial 16S ribosomal RNA
Rfam family: Bacterial small subunit ribosomal RNA
Source: RNAcentral
GAUGAACGCUGGCGGCGUGCCUAAUACAUGCAAGUCGAGCGAACAGACGAGGAGCUUGCUCCUCUGACGUUAGCGGCGGACGGGUGAGUAACACGUGGAUAACCUACCUAUAAGACUGGGAUAACUUCGGGAAACCGGAGCUAAUACCGGAUAAUAUAUUGAACCGCAUGGUUCAAUAGUGAAAGACGGUUUUGCUGUCACUUAUAGAUGGAUCCGCGCCCCAUUAGCUAGUUGGUAAGGUAACGGCUUACCAAGGCGACGAUGCGUAGCCGACCUGAGAGGGUGAUCGGCCACACUGGAACUGAGACACGGUCCAGACUCCUACGGGAGGCAGCAGUAGGGAAUCUUCCGCAAUGGGCGAAAGCCUGACGGAGCAACGCCGCGUGAGUGAUGAAGGUCUUCGGAUCGUAAAACUCUGUUAUUAGGGAAGAACAAAUGUGUAAGUAACUAUGCACGUCUUGACGGUACCUAAUCAGAAAGCCACGGCUAACUACGUG